GAUGAACGCUAGCGACAGGCCUAACACAUGCAAGUCGAGGGGCGGCACAAAGUAGCAAUACUUGGUGGCGACCGGCGCACGGGUGAGUAACACGUAUGCAACCUACCUGUAAGCGGGGAAUAACCCGGAGAAAUUCGGACUAACACCGCAUAAUACUGAAUUACUGCAUGGUUUUUCAGUUAAAUAUUUAUAGCUUACAGAUGGGCAUGCGUAUGAUUAGAUAGUUGGUAGGGUAACGGCCUACCAAGUCAACGAUCAUUAGGGGUUCUGAGAGGAAGGUCCCCCACACUGGUACUGAGACACGGACCAGACUCCUACGGGAGGCAGCAGUGAGGAAUAUUGGUCAAUGGGCGAGAGCCUGAACCAGCCAAGUCGCGUGAAGGAAGAAGGUUCUAUGGAUUGUAAACUUCUUUUGUAAGGGAAUAAAAAGAGUAACGUGUACUCUAUUGUAUGUACUUUACGAAUAAGGAUCGGCUAACUCCGUGCCAGCAGCCGCGGUAAAACGUG
Molecule: ribosomal RNA, 507 nt
Filed under: uncultured bacterium
Lineage: Bacteria
Description: bacterial SSU rRNA
Rfam family: Bacterial small subunit ribosomal RNA
Source: RNAcentral